GACACAAAAUCCUGCAUUUGUCAUGGAAGAAAUCACACAUCAAUAUAUGGUUAGAGUCAUCUGGAACCCACAGAGAGCAGAAGGAUUAAAAGUACUUAUUGUAAACCUGAAUUUUAUUCUGAUAUAAUUGUACAUAACAAAUACAAAACUAAAAAAACAUUAAAAAGUACAUUGAUACUGAGGACUUAAAAAAAGAAAAAAAAACCUAGUAACUCCCCGUUACUAAGAGCUCUGUUUCCAUUCUCUCUCACUAUUGCUUACAUCCAUCACAGACCCUCAACUUAACGUUACCCGUGUAACAAAAACAGCAGAAAUAUCAGAACUAUCCAGACAUACAGUUUAGAUCCAGAUUACGGGCUCAGACAGGGAAAACAGACGUUCGUGGCAGGGGUGUGCCAAAAUAUCAAUAUUGCGAUAUUUAGUCCUCGAUUGAUUCUCGAUGGGUUCUCACUAAGUAUCGAUCUUAUAUUUUUGCUUGAAGAGGCUGUUGCGCUGAGAGUCUGAGUCACGUGACAUGGAACUGUUGAGGAGCUGGGCGCGCUGUGUCGGACAUUUUAUGGUAAAGCACGCACUUCAUUCAGGAAAAAACACCGGAGAGAUACAGGCUCGGUAUCGCGUGUGUAAAGCAUGUCUACCUGUGCUCAGGUAUCAUCCAUCUGUAGAAGAGGGAGCAGGGUUUAUACCUACUGACUGCUGACUGACCAAAUGGAAAAUGGAUAAAGAUUGGAGAAAUAAUCAAGUGAUGGUCUAAAUAAAUCAGUCUUCAAUUUUGGACACUCAGCCCUUUUCAAACUUGGGAAAAGCACACAAAAAAUUAUGUAACACUUGACAGAGUCUGUAAACAUUAUAUUCCUGAUCCUUUGGUGUGACGUUCCUUUGGAGGUAGAUCGCUGUCGCCAAUUUAAAUUAUUACAUUUUUGUUCUGUUGCUAACGACAAUUCUGCACUAAAUAGUGGCACUGCUGAUCAUGUUUACUAUUGUUAACAUGGAAUUUGACAGAUAAUUUCAAUUCAAUUGUUGUCAAUGCUUGUCAAAGACAUAGUAUCACUGAUUUCAGCAAUGUUGCACAAGUGUCUAGAAAUUGUUUGACAAAAUAAGACAUAAGUUGUUUUUUAUGAUUGUGUUUAAGCCAAAAUAAAUAAAUGGGGGAUAUAUUUUCCCAAAAAAUAUGUUAUUCUAUAUAAUGUUAGUUAUUAAAGA
Molecule: long non-coding RNA, 1200 nt
Filed under: Oryzias javanicus (javanese ricefish)
Lineage: Eukaryota; Metazoa; Chordata; Actinopteri; Beloniformes; Adrianichthyidae
Description: lncRNA (ENSOJAG00000002998.1)
Source: RNAcentral